This 451-nucleotide ribosomal RNA is filed under the name uncultured bacterium. RNAcentral describes it as "partial 16S ribosomal RNA". It matches the Rfam family "Bacterial small subunit ribosomal RNA", at positions 28 to 506 of the family's 1533-position model. The record is from RNAcentral.
GAUGAACGCUGGUGGCGUGCCUAACACAUGCCAGCCGAGCGAUUCUCUUCGGAGAAGAGCGGCGGACGGGUGAGUAACGCGUGGGUAACCUGCCCUGUACACACGGAUAACAUACCGAAAGGUAUGCUAAUACGAGAUAACAUGCUUUUAUCGCAUGGUAGAAGUAUCAAAGCUUUUGCGGUACAGGAUGGACCCGCGUCUGAUUAGCUAGUUGGUGAGGUAACGGCUCACCAAGGCGACGAUCAGUAGCCGACCUGAGAGGGUGAUCGGCCACAUUGGAACUGAGCCACGAUCCAAACUCCAACGGGAGGCAGCAGUGGGGAAUAUUGCACAGUGGGCGAAAGCCUGAUGCAGCGACGCCGCGUGAGCGAUGAAGGCCUUCGGGUCGUAAAGCUCUGUCCUCAAGGAAGAUAAUGACGGUACUUGAGGAGGAAGCCCCGGCUAACUACGU